This 658-nucleotide ribosomal RNA is filed under the name Kanekotrochus infuscatus. RNAcentral describes it as "Cantharidus infuscatus partial 12S rRNA". Lineage: Eukaryota; Metazoa; Mollusca; Gastropoda; Trochida; Trochidae. The record is from RNAcentral.
GACAAACAGGUCAAGUUAAGUAUUUUGGUACAAAAGAAAGUCGGAAAGUCUUUGUUACUGGAAAAAUUGAUUUUAUUUUAAGGGGUGGAAUCCGUAUAAGUGAAGUCAUAUUAUUAAUUUUUGGUAUAUUUUGAUGCUUUUAAAAUUAGGGCAGAGACCGGGAUUAGAUACCCCGUUAUUCUCUUUGUAAAUUUUGAUUUAUUGUAAAUUUACCUGAGUAUUACGAGCAUAACAUCGGGUUUAGAUGUUUAUAUUUGUUUAAAACUCAAAAAACUUGGCGGUGCCUUAAUUCCUUCCAGGGGAACCUGUCCUGUAAUUGAUAGUCCACGUUUUAGCUUACUUUUUUUGGAAACUCAGUAAGAGUGAGAUUCAGCUUGUAUACCGUCGUCGUCAGAUUACCUUUUAGAGAAUAAGAAGUUGUCAGAUAAAAUGAGGUUAAGGAUAAAUCGGUAUUAAUGUCUUUUUUUGUUAAUUACUGUUUUAUUAACUUAUUUUAGAUGUCAGAUCAAGGUGCAGUUGAUAAAAAAGUAGAGAUGGGUUACAAUACUAAUUUAGUAAUAAUGGAUAUUGAUUUGUAAUUUAUUUAUUGAAGGCGGACUUGGGAGUAAUUUAAUAUAUUAAAUAGCGAGUAUAGUUGAAUAGAGGUACUAAGGUGCGC